AUAACCAUAUGCACAUUCCAUAUUAGUUACGCAUAUAUUGGAGAACUAGAUAGCUAACGGAACUGUGCAUCAAGAAAAGCUAUGCUUGUAUCAAGUGAAAAGUGUACACCGAGAACGUACUUAGAGCAACCAAAAAUAUAAGUAGUAUGCUAUGUAUCGAAUACUGAGUGCAUGUGCAUCAGAAUGACUAAUGUAGUCUGGGAUAAAUAAAUGUGGAUCAACAAAUCUUAUGAACGGAUAAAACGUGUAUCACCCAAGAACAAGGCCAUAGGUGUUCAUAUUGGCCUCCUAGUAGGUGGACCGUGAACAAAAUAGAAAAAUACACUUUUGGAAAAGGUAUGUGUAUUUGUACAAAAAAAUAACGUAUGCGUAUUGUUAUAUGCUAUCCGUCUCGUUCAUUUAAAGACGUGUAUCAAUGGAAAUAGAGUGUACGCAUCAGUUUGUAUAUGUGUAUCAAUGCAAAUAGAACAUCCUCCAAGACUUGAUGUCAAUAUCUU
This 497-nucleotide long non-coding RNA is filed under the name Phoenix dactylifera (date palm). Its description in RNAcentral is "long non-coding RNA (PDAC_LNC019765)". Lineage: Eukaryota; Viridiplantae; Streptophyta; Magnoliopsida; Arecales; Arecaceae. The record is from RNAcentral.